UGGUCUGAGGCUCAGUGGUAGAGCGCCUGCCUCACAUGCGUGAGGCAUUGGGUUCAAUCCCCAGCACCACAA
Molecule: non-coding RNA, 72 nt
Organism: Ictidomys tridecemlineatus (thirteen-lined ground squirrel)
Lineage: Eukaryota; Metazoa; Chordata; Mammalia; Rodentia; Sciuridae
Source: Rfam